This 429-nucleotide ribosomal RNA is filed under the name Gemmatimonadota bacterium. RNAcentral's name for it is "Gemmatimonadetes bacterium partial 16S ribosomal RNA". It matches the Rfam family "Bacterial small subunit ribosomal RNA", at positions 355 to 776 of the family's 1533-position model. The record is from RNAcentral. Lineage: Bacteria; Pseudomonadati; Gemmatimonadota.
UCGGGAAUCUUCGGCAAUGGACGAAAGUCUGACCGAGCAACGCCGCGUGAGUGAAGAAGGUUUUCGGAUCGUAAAACUCUGUUGUUAGAGAAGAACAAGGACGUUAGUAACUGAACGUCCCCUGACGGUAUCUAACCAGAAAGCCACGGCUAACUACGUGCCAGCAGCCGCGGUAAUACGUAGGUGGCAAGCGUUGUCCGGAUUUAUUGGGCGUAAAGCGAGCGCAGGCGGUUUCUUAAGUCUGAUGUGAAAGCCCCCGGCUCAACCGGGGAGAGUCAUUGGAAACUGGGAGACUUGAGUGCAGAAGAGGAGAGUGGAAUUCCAUGUGUAGCGGUGACAUGCAUAGAUAUAAGGAGGAACACCAGUGGGGAAGGCGGCUCUCUGGUCUGUGACUGACGCGGAGGCUCGAAAGCGGGGGGAGCAAACAGG